UGCGGGGUGGAGCAGUCUGGUAGCUCGUCGGGCUCAUAACCCGAAGGUCGUUGGUUCAAAUCCAGCCCCGCUACCA
RNAcentral lists this transfer RNA (76 nucleotides) under Acinetobacter variabilis. RNAcentral describes it as "tRNA-Met". It matches the Rfam family "tRNA". From Rfam's summary of the family: Transfer RNA (tRNA) molecules are approximately 80 nucleotides in length. Their secondary structure includes four short double-helical elements and three loops (D, anti-codon, and T loops). RNAcentral also lists the same sequence under 1 other name. Lineage: Bacteria; Pseudomonadati; Pseudomonadota; Gammaproteobacteria; Moraxellales; Moraxellaceae. The record is from RNAcentral.